RNAcentral lists this ribosomal RNA (429 nucleotides) under Actinomycetes bacterium. RNAcentral describes it as "Actinobacteria bacterium partial 16S ribosomal RNA". It matches the Rfam family "Bacterial small subunit ribosomal RNA", at positions 355 to 776 of the family's 1533-position model. Lineage: Bacteria; Bacillati; Actinomycetota; Actinomycetes. The record is from RNAcentral.
UAGGGAAUCUUCCGCAAUGGGCGAAAGCCUGACGGAGCAACGCCGCGUGAGUGAUGAAGGUCUUCGGAUCGUAAAACUCUGUUAUUAGGGAAGAACAAAUGUGUAAGUAACUAUGCACGUCUUGACGGUACCUAAUCAGAAAGCCACGGCUAACUACGUGCCAGCAGCCGCGGUAAUACGUAGGUGGCAAGCGUUAUCCGGAAUUAUUGGGCGUAAAGCGCGCGUAGGCGGUUUUUUAAGUCUGAUGUGAAAGCCCACGGCUCAACCGUGUAGGGUCAUUGGAAACUGGAAAACUUGGUUGCAGAAGAGGAAAGUGGAAUUCCAUGUGUAGCGGUGAAAUGCGCAGAGAUAUGGAGGAACACCAGUGGCGAAGGCGACUUUCUGGUCUGUAACUGACGCUGAUGUGCGAAAGCGUGGGGAUCAAACAGG